UACGUAGGCAGCAAGCGUUGUUCGGAGUUACUGGGCGUAAAGGGUGCGUAGGCGGUUGUUUAAGUUUGGUGUGAAAUCUCCCGGCUCAACUGGGAGGGUGCGCCGAAUACUGAAUGACUAGAGUGCGGGAGAGGAGAGUGGAAUUCCUGGUGUAGCGGUGAAAUGCGUAGAUAUCAGGAGGAACACCUGUGGUGUAGACGCUUUCUGGACCAUAGCUGACGCUGAGACACGAAAGCGUGGGUAGCAAACAGG
RNAcentral lists this ribosomal RNA (252 nucleotides) under uncultured bacterium. RNAcentral's name for it is "partial 16S ribosomal RNA". It matches the Rfam family "Bacterial small subunit ribosomal RNA", at positions 524 to 776 of the family's 1533-position model. The record is from RNAcentral.